CCUACGGGCGGCUGCAGUGGGGAAUAUUGCGCAAUGGGCGAAAGCCUGACGCAGCGACGCCGCGUGAGGGAUGAAGGUCUUCGGAUCGUAAACCUCUGUCAGCAGGGAAGAACGGUCACUGUGCUAAUCAGCAGUGAAUUGACGGUACCUGCAAAGGAAGCACCGGCUAACUCCGUGCCAGCAGCCGCGGUAAUACGGAGGGUGCGAGCGUUAAUCGGAAUUACUGGGCGUAAAGCGCUCGUAGGCGGUAUGUCAAGUCAAGUGUGAAAUCACCGCGCCCAACGUGGGAACUGCAUUUGAAACGGGCAAACUUGAGUGUGUUAGAGGAUAGGGGAAGUCCAGGUGUAGGAGUGAAAUCCGUAGAUAUCUGGAGGAACAUCAGUGGCGAAGGCGACUAUCUGGCACAUAACUGACGCUGAGGAGCGAAAGCGUGGGUAGCAAACAGGAUUAGAUACCCCAGUAGUC
RNAcentral lists this ribosomal RNA (465 nucleotides) under uncultured bacterium. RNAcentral's name for it is "partial 16S ribosomal RNA". It matches the Rfam family "Bacterial small subunit ribosomal RNA", at positions 338 to 795 of the family's 1533-position model. The record is from RNAcentral.